RNAcentral lists this ribosomal RNA (450 nucleotides) under uncultured bacterium. RNAcentral's name for it is "partial 16S ribosomal RNA". It matches the Rfam family "Bacterial small subunit ribosomal RNA", at positions 354 to 796 of the family's 1533-position model. The record is from RNAcentral.
GUGGGGAAUAUUGGACAAUGGGCGCAAGCCUGAUCCAGCAAUGCCGCGUGCAGGAAGAAGGCCUUCGGGUUGUAAACUGCUUUUGUACGGAACGAAACGGUCCGGGUUAAUACCCUGGGCUAAUGACGGUACCGUAAGAAUAAGCACCGGCUAACUACGUGCCAGCAGCCGCGGUAAUACGUAGGGUGCAAGCGUUAAUCGGAAUUACUGGGCGUAAAGCGUGCGCAGGCGGUUUUGUAAGACAGGCGUGAAAUCCCCGGGCUCAGCCUGGGAAUUGCGCUUGUGACUGCAAGGCUGGAGUGCGGCAGAGGGGGAUGGAAUUCCGCGUGUAGCAGUGAAAUGCGUAGAUAUGCGGAGGAACACCGAUGGCGAAGGCAAUCCCCUGGGCCUGCACUGACGCUCAUGCACGAAAGCGUGGGGAGCAAACAGGAUUAGAAACCCCUGUAGUCC